Molecule: ribosomal RNA, 497 nt
Filed under: uncultured bacterium
Lineage: Bacteria
Description: partial 16S ribosomal RNA
Rfam family: Bacterial small subunit ribosomal RNA
Source: RNAcentral
GACGAACGCUGGCGGCGUGCCUAAUACAUGCAAGUAGAACGCUGAAGAGAGGAGCUUGCUCUUCUUGGAUGAGUUGCGAACGGGUGAGUAACGCGUAGGUAACCUGCCUUGUAGCGGGGGAUAACUAUUGGAAACGAUAGCUAAUACCGCAUAACAAUGGAUGACACAUGUCAUUUAUUUGAAAGGGGCAAUUGCUCCACUACAAGAUGGACCUGCGUUGUAUUAGCUAGUAGGUGAGGUAAUGGCUCACCUAGGCGACGAUACAUAGCCGACCUGAGAGGGUGAUCGGCCACACUGGGACUGAGACACGGCCCAGACUCCUACGGGAGGCAGCAGUAGGGAAUCUGCGGCAAUGGGGGCAACCCUGACCGAGCAACGCCGCGUGAGUGAAGAAGGUUUUCGGAUCGUAAAGCUCUGUUGUAAGUCAAGAACGGGUGUGAGAGUGGAAAGUUCACACUGUGACGGUAGCUUACCAGAAAGGGACGGCUAACUACGUG